Molecule: small RNA, 477 nt
Filed under: Bos taurus (domestic cattle)
Lineage: Eukaryota; Metazoa; Chordata; Mammalia; Artiodactyla; Bovidae
Source: RNAcentral
UUCUCUAAGUCCGUGGAAUACCAAAACCAAAAUCUGUAGAAUAUUUUAAAGAGUGCAGGCUUUGUUCAGAAUGUGAGCGCUUUGCUCCACUGAACCGAACGGUAGUAAGAUUUGUAGAAGAGACGCAGAGUGAAAGGCACGUCUUUUUAUCGAGUGACAUGACAGCACCCAUCGCGUGAGUUACUGGCUGGAGUUUAGAGACAGGCCGUGUUGGGCUAAACUCCUUAUUGCUGUUUUCAGCCCUUGGGUAAUAAUCAGAAGCUUUCUCUGAAGAGAGUGGGGUCAGCUGUCAGACUCCUAGGUAUCUGCCGGCCAGCAGGGCUGGGAUCAAAUGCAGCAGCCAGUAGAUACGGGAUGGGGCAAGAGGUCACCUUGUCCCUUUGUUGCUGCCGGGAGAGAGGCUCGUCCUGGUGCCAGCGGGGGCCAGAGCUGUGACUUGGUGGCCAGAAGAUGUGUCUGGGUCUCACGAAUUCCGCU